GGUGUGUUGCAUCCAGCUCUGGGUUCUUCAGCACGGAUGGACAGGAACCUGGUGGAACAGGUCCAGAAGAGGCUCACACAAAUGAUCAGAAGAAUGGGACAUCUCUUCUAUGAGGAAACACUGAAAGAACAGUGUUUCCUCAUAGAAGGAUUGUUCAGUCAGGAGAAGUAAAGGCUCUGGGGAGCUCUCACUGUGAGCUUUUAUAUGGGGGACAAAGAAACUCUUGGAUUCCCCGCUUCACCUGAAGAAAGGUCACCUGAAAUUUACUCCAAGUAGCUCAGUGGAACAGACAAGAUCCAUCUACACAUGUGGAUAUGUUUUGAUCAAUUUUCAGCCUACACCAUGUUGGAUGGGAAUGUUGAUUAUCUGGAGAGUAAGAAGGCUCUGCAGAGGGAUCUUCACAGACUGGAUUGAUGGGCUGAGGACAGCAGCAAGAGUUUAAUAAAGCUGAGUACUUGGUCCUGAACUUGGGUUACAAUAAACCCAGGCAUGGGGAA
Passer domesticus (house sparrow) is the source of this 497-nucleotide long non-coding RNA. RefSeq lists it as uncharacterized. The transcript is spliced from 3 exons. NCBI's taxonomy places the organism in Eukaryota, Metazoa, Chordata, Aves, Passeriformes, Passeridae. The record is from RefSeq and is a predicted model, not a curated record.